Molecule: ribosomal RNA, 380 nt
Filed under: uncultured eukaryote
Lineage: Eukaryota
Description: partial 18S ribosomal RNA
Rfam family: Eukaryotic small subunit ribosomal RNA
Source: RNAcentral
CAAUAGCGUAUAUUAAAGUUGUUGCAGUUAAAAAGCUCGUAGUUGGAUUUGUGGCAUACGGUGGGUUCCGGGCACUUGUUGUCUGAGUAACUUGCUGUUGCCAUCCUUGGGUGGAACCUGUGUGGCAUUAGGUUGUCGUGCAGGGGAUGCCCAUCAUUUACUGUGAAAAAAUUAGAGUGUUCAAAGCAGGCUUAUGCCGUUGAAUAUAUUAGCAUGGAAUAAUGAGAUAGGACUUUUUUGCUAUUUUGUUGGUUUGCGCAAAGAGGUAAUGAUUAAUAGGGACAGUUGGGGGUAUUCGUAUUCCAUUGUCAGAGGUGAAAUUCUUGGAUUUUUGGAAGACGAACUACUGCGAAAGCAUUUACCAAGGAUGUUUUCAUUAA